RNAcentral lists this ribosomal RNA (251 nucleotides) under uncultured bacterium. RNAcentral's name for it is "partial 16S ribosomal RNA". It matches the Rfam family "Bacterial small subunit ribosomal RNA", at positions 524 to 776 of the family's 1533-position model. The record is from RNAcentral.
UACGGGGGGGGCAAGCGUUGUUCGGAAUUACUGGGCGUAAAGGCUCGUAGGCGGCCAACUAAGUCCGACGUGAAAUCCCCAGGCUUAACCUGGGAACUGCGUCGGAUACUGGAUGGCUUGAAUCCGGGAGAGGGAUGCGGAAUCCAGGUGUAGCGGUGAAAUGCGUAGAUAUCAGGAAGAACACCCGUGGCUAAGGCGGCUCUCUAGUACGGUACUGACGCUGAGACGCGAAAGCGUGGGGAGCGAACAGG